UGUUCGGAUUGCGUCGACGAUGGCGGUUCGCCGCCGUCGACGUCGUGAGAAGUUCAUUGAACCUUAUCAUUUAGAGGAGGGAGAAGUCGUAACAAGGUUACCGUAGGUGAACCUGCGGUAGGAUCAUUG
This 129-nucleotide ribosomal RNA is filed under the name Pinus taiwanensis. RNAcentral's name for it is "partial 18S ribosomal RNA". It matches the Rfam family "Eukaryotic small subunit ribosomal RNA", at positions 1707 to 1831 of the family's 1831-position model. The record is from RNAcentral. Lineage: Eukaryota; Viridiplantae; Streptophyta; Pinopsida; Pinales; Pinaceae.